This 120-nucleotide small nuclear RNA is filed under the name Esox lucius (northern pike). Its description in RNAcentral is "U5 spliceosomal RNA". It matches the Rfam family "U5 spliceosomal RNA". From Rfam's summary of the family: U5 RNA is a component of both types of known spliceosome. Lineage: Eukaryota; Metazoa; Chordata; Actinopteri; Esociformes; Esocidae. The record is from Rfam by way of RNAcentral.
CAACUCUGGUUUCUCUUCAAUCACGCACAAGUUUUUCGCCUUUUACUAAAGACUUUCCGUGGAGAGCAAACGCUCACGAGUUCAACGUAUUUUUGGACGGGCUUUGCUCCCGGCAGAGCC